RNAcentral lists this ribosomal RNA (233 nucleotides) under uncultured bacterium. Its description in RNAcentral is "partial 16S ribosomal RNA". It matches the Rfam family "Bacterial small subunit ribosomal RNA", at positions 103 to 334 of the family's 1533-position model. The record is from RNAcentral.
CGGGUGAGUAACGCGUGAGGAACCUGCCUCAAAGAGGGGGACAACAGUUGGAAACGACUGCUAAUACCGCAUAAGCCCACGGCUCGGCAUCGAGCAGAGGGAAAAGGAGUGAUCCGCUUUGAGAUGGCCUCGCGUCCGAUUAGCUAGUUGGUGAGGUAACGGCUCACCAAGGCAACGAUACAUAGGGGGACUGAGAGGUUAACCCCCCACACUGGUACUGAGACACGGACCAG